Molecule: ribosomal RNA, 484 nt
Filed under: uncultured bacterium
Lineage: Bacteria
Description: partial 16S ribosomal RNA
Rfam family: Bacterial small subunit ribosomal RNA
Source: RNAcentral
AUUGAACGCUGGCGGCAGGCCUAACACAUGCAAGUCGAGCGGAUGAAGGGAGCUUGCUCCUGGAUUCAGCGGCGGACGGGUGAGUAAUGCCUAGGAAUCUGCCUGGUAGUGGGGGAUAACGUCCGGAAACGGGCGCUAAUACCGCAUACGUCCUGAGGGAGAAAGUGGGGGAUCUUCGGACCUCACGCUAUCAGAUGAGCCUAGGUCGGAUUAGCUAGUUGGUGGGGUAAAGGCCUACCAAGGCGACGAUCCGUAACUGGCCUGAGAGGAUGAUCAGUCACACUGGAACUGAGACACGGUCCAGACUCCUACGGGAGGCAGCAGUGGGGAAUAUUGGACAAUGGGCGAAAGCCUGAUCCAGCCAUGCCGCGUGUGUGAAGAAGGUCUUCGGAUUGUAAAGCACCUUAAGUUGGGAGGAAGGGCAGUAAGUUAAUACCUUGCUGUUUUGACGUUACCAACAGAAUAAGCACCGGCUAACUUCGUG